UGAUCCCCCACACUGGUACUGAGACACGGACCAGACUCCUACGGGAGGCAGCAGUGAGGAAUAUUGGUCAAUGGGCGAGAGCCUGAACCAGCCAUGCCGCGCGCAGGAAGACGGCCCUACGGGUUGUAAACUGCUUUUGUUUGGGAAUAAAAGCGCCUACGUGUAGGUGACUGAAGGUACCAGAUGAAUAAGCAUCGGCUAACUCCGUGCCAGCAGCCGCGGUAAUACGGAGGAUGCGAGCGUUAUCCGGAUUUAUUAGGUUUAAAGGGUGUGUAGGCGGAAGUCUAAGUCAGUGGUGAAAUCCCCCAGCUUAACUGGGGAACUGCCAUAGAUACAGGAUUUCUUGAGUACAGUUGAAGUAGGCGGAAUGUGUAAUGUAGCGGUGAAAUGCUUAGAUAUUACACAGAACACCGAUUGCGAAGGCAGCUUGCUAAGCUGUUACUGACGCUGAUGCACGAAAGCGUGGGUAGCGAACAGGAUUAGAUACCCUGGUAGUCCACGCCGUAAACGAUGAUUACUCGUUGUUGGCGAUAUAUAGUCAGCGACUGAGCGAAAGCAUUAAGUAAUCCACCUGGGGAGUACGGCGGCAACGCUGAAACUCAAAGGAAUUGACGGGGGCCCGCACAAGCGGAGGAACAUGUGGUUUAAUUCGAUGAUACGCGAGGAACCUUACCUGGGCCUUAAAUGUAGCGUGACCGUCCCUGAAAGGGGAUUUUCCAAGCAAUUGGCAGGUAACAAGUGCUGCAAGGCUGUCGUCAGCUCCGUGUCGUGAAGUGUCGGGUUAAGUCCCAUAACGAAGCGCAACCCU
RNAcentral lists this ribosomal RNA (808 nucleotides) under uncultured prokaryote. RNAcentral's name for it is "bacterial SSU rRNA". It matches the Rfam family "Bacterial small subunit ribosomal RNA", at positions 301 to 1105 of the family's 1533-position model. The record is from RNAcentral.